This 497-nucleotide ribosomal RNA is filed under the name uncultured bacterium. RNAcentral describes it as "partial 16S ribosomal RNA". It matches the Rfam family "Bacterial small subunit ribosomal RNA", at positions 28 to 507 of the family's 1533-position model. The record is from RNAcentral.
GAUGAACGCUGGCGGCGUGCCUAAUACAUGCAAGUCGAGCGAACAGACGAGGAGCUUGCUCCUCUGACGUUAGCGGCGGACGGGUGAGUAACACGUGGAUAACCUACCUAUAAGACUGGGAUAACUUCGGGAAACCGGAGCUAAUACCGGAUAAUAUAUUGAACCGCAUGGUUCAAUAGUGAGAGACGGUUUUGCUGUCACUUAUAGAUGGAUCCGCGCCGCAUUAGCUAGUUGGUAAGGUAACGGCUUACCAAGGCAACGAUGCGUAGCCGACCUGAGAGGGUGAUCGGCCACACUGGAACUGAGACACGGUCCAGACUCCUACGGGAGGCAGCAGUAGGGAAUCUUCCGCAAAGGGCGAAAGCCUGACGGAGCAACGCCGCGUGAGUGAUGAAGGUCUUCGGAUCGUAAAACUCUGUUAUUAGGGAAGAACAAAUGUGUAAGUAACUAUGCACGUCUUGACGGUACCUAAUCAGAAAGCCACGGCUAACUACGUG